Molecule: ribosomal RNA, 395 nt
Filed under: uncultured bacterium
Lineage: Bacteria
Description: partial 16S ribosomal RNA
Rfam family: Bacterial small subunit ribosomal RNA
Source: RNAcentral
AAUAUUGCACAAUGGAGGAAACCCUGAUGCAUCAACGCCGCGUGAGCGAUGAAGGCGUUCGGGUCGUAAAGCACUGUCCUCAGGGAAGAUAAUGACGGUACCUUAGGCGGAAGCCCCGUCUAUCUACGUGCCAGCAGCCGCGGUAAUACGUAGGGGGCAAGCGUUAUCCGGAAUCAUUGGGCGUAAAGGGUGCGUAGUCGGCCCUAUGGGGAAGAGGUUAAAGGCUACGGCUCAACCGUAGUAAGCCUUUGAAACUGUAGGGCUUGAGUGCAGGAGAGGAGAGUGGAAUUCCUAGUGUAGCGGUGAAAUGCGUAGAUAUUAGGAGGAACACCAGUGGCGAAGGCGACUCUCUGGACUGCAACUGACGCUGAGGCACGAAAGCGUGGGUAGCGAAC